GAAAGUGGCUCCUAAGUCACAAAGUCACAGGCGGGUGGGCAUCCUUUCAACAGGGCUCCCAGGAAUAGAGCUGUGCCACUCUCCCUGAUGAUCCUGGGAAGUAGCUACCUCUCCCAGAUGGAGUUGGGGUCCAAUCCAUGCAUGUCCAAUUCCCAGCGAAGCCCACUCUCCCCAGGGCUGGCUGGGAUGGAAGGAUAACUACAGGCCCCCGUGGGAUUUGUCUAUGUGAGGGCAGGGUGUACAAGGUUUGAGACAGUGGUAAAAGGACAGGUGUGCUUCUUAAGGAAGCAGCAGAAAGGUGGCAAGAAGCUGGCAGCAGCCCCCGAGAGGGCCCUGGCACCAUGGACGAUGAGGAACCUCUUGAGCCUGAGACACAAGAUGAGACUGAAACAGUGGCAGCAUCAGAGAACAGUGACGAAACACUCUACUGUGAGGCCGAAGCCACCCCGGCUGUCGAAAAAGAGAAACCAACCCACGAGAGUUCAGAAACAGACCUUGAGAUGGAAGAUACUGAGAAAUUUUUCACCACUGGACAAAAGGAGCUGUACCUGGAGGCCUGCAAACUGGUGGGUGUAGUGCCUGUCUCCUACUUCAUCCGGAACAUGGAGGAGUCCUAUGUGAACCUCAACCACCAUGGGCUGGGCCCCAGGGGUACCAAGGCUAUUGCGAUUGCCCUGGUGUCCAACACGGCUGUGAUGACCCUGGAGCUGGAAGACAACUGUAUCAUGGCGGAGGGCAUCGUGAGCCUGACGCAGAUGCUGCGAGAGAACUACUACCUCCAGGAGCUGAAUCUUUCCGACAAUGAUCUUGGUUUGGAGGGGGCCAGAAUCAUCUCAGAAUUUCUCCAGAGAAAUACGUCUUCACUCUCGAACCUUCAGCUUUCAGGACUUGCCUUUUCUAUGGCUGGUUGUUUCAAAGGGGAGACCGGCAGGGCUGGGAUACGGGAGGGUAAGGCAGCCCUAGUCUGGAGAGCAUCGCCAACGCCCACCUUCCCUCCAGGAAAUAACUUCAAGGACGAAGCUGCAGAGCUGCUCAGCCAAGCCCUGUCGUCUGAUUACCGAAUUAAGUCGCUGGAUCUCAGUCACAACCAAUUCUCUGACAAAGGAGGGGAGCACUUGGGACAGAUGCUGGCCUUGAAUGUAGGGCUCCAGUCGCUGGAUUUGAGCUGGAAUCACUUCUACACACGGGGAGCUGUGGCUUUGUGCAAUGGUCUCCGGACCAAUGUGACCCUGAAGAAACUGGAUGUCUCCAUGAAUGGCUUUGGGAACGAGGGGGCUACGGCCCUAGGGGAUGUCCUCAGACUCAACAACUCCCUGGCCUACCUAGAUGUUAGCGGCAAUGACAUUAGCAACGAAGGAGUCUCCAAAAUCAGCAGAGGACUGGAGCUCAAUGACAGCCUCAAAGUCCUGAAGCUUUUCCUGAACCCUAUGAGUAUGGAUGGAGCUGUUUUACUUAUCCUGUCCAUCAAGAGGAACCCCAAAUCCAGUAUGGAAGAACUCGACAUUUCCAACGUGCUGGUGUCUGAGCAGUUCGUGAAAACGUUGGAUGGGGUGUACGCCGUCCACCCCCAGCUGGACGUGGUGUACAAGGCGGUGCAAGGCCUGUCUGCCAAGAAAGCCGUCCUCCUGUGGACGAACCCCAUGAAACUGAUCCAGAGCUAUGCAGACCAGCACAAAAUCACGGUAGUGGACUUCCUCAAGAACUUGAACCCUACCAGAACGAUGAGGAUGCCUGUAGGCGAAUUCCGGAAAGCUAUGGUACAGCAGAAGCAAGUCCCCUUAAACCGGUCCCAAAUCAGGGAGCUGAUAAAGAAGAUUGACGAGAAGACCGGCAUGGUGAACUUCAGUCUCUUGAAAAUGGCGAAGCCAUAGCAACAAGUCUGGUCUGGAAAGAAGUCUCAGCGAGGAGAAGUCCUGGCAAGUCGGAUGGCGGCAAGGAGGAGGCGGAGAGCUGGCUGGAAACUCUGUGCACAGACACCGAGGCCAGGACUGUGAGCAAGCAGGUGCAGAGGGCUCACGUGGAGAGAGCCCAGGACAGGAGACUGAGAGACCCGACAUCUAAUUGUGGCCUGGCACUACCUGGCCACCUGAACUUGGAGCCUCAUGGUUCCACCUGAAAAGUGGGACAGCUGAAAUAAAGGCUGCCCAGUCUGUCCCAGGGAUCUACCGUGCUAUGUUUCUUUUCAAAACUCCUUGGGAAACGGGGGAGAUAUGAGGAGCUUAGCUAAAAAGCAAGAACAGCCAAGAGGACCAGGCACUGAGCAGGUGGGGGAAUGGGGACCUUAAAGGGUUUAGAUUAACCUCACCAGUGUCUUUGUGGACGAACAAGGCCAGCAAUUGUCCCAAGCAUCUCUGUAGCACCUGCACAGCACCUGGCACACAGUAGGUGCUCAAUAAAUACCUGUGGAAUGAACAGACAUGAUCACCUGGCAAUUGUUUGGGGCAAGUGGUGGGAAAGUGGGGGCUGGAUGGGGGCGCAUCCAGGAACCAACACUUUGGCGCCCCAGAGGACCGCUGGAACAGCAUUGGUCGUCAAGGCACCAGCCCUUGGAUUUCACUCGGCUUCUUCACUGAGGAUGGAGGCGAUGCUGAGGCCUCUCUGCGCAGGUGGCAGAAUCAUUAUUGUAAAUAAUUUAUGUUCCCCCCUCCCAUGCA
Molecule: RNA transcript, 2654 nt
Organism: Equus caballus (horse)
Lineage: Eukaryota; Metazoa; Chordata; Mammalia; Perissodactyla; Equidae
Gene: LRRC74A
Gene name: leucine rich repeat containing 74A
Source: RefSeq, a predicted model, not a curated record